AACAAACGCUGGCGGCAGGCCUAACACAUGCAAGUCGAGCGAGGUAGCAAUACCUAGCGGCGGACGGGUGAGUAACGCGUGGGAACGUACCCUUUGCUACGGAAUAGCCCCGGGAAACUGGGAGUAAUACCGUAUGUGCCCUUCGGGGGAAAGAUUUAUCGGCAAAGGAUCGGCCCGCGUUGGAUUAGGUAGUUGGUGGGGUAAUGGCCUACCAAGCCGACGAUCCAUAGCUGGUUUGAGAGGAUGAUCAGCCACACUGGGACUGAGACACGGCCCAGACUCCUACGGGAGGCAGCAGUGGGGAAUCUUAGACAAUGGGCGCAAGCCUGAUCUAGCCAUGCCGCGUGAGUGAUGAAGGCCUUAGGGUUGUAAAGCUCUUUCAGAUGGGAAGAUAAUGACGGUACCAUCAGAAGAAGCCCCGGCUAACUCCGUG
Molecule: ribosomal RNA, 433 nt
Filed under: uncultured bacterium
Lineage: Bacteria
Description: bacterial SSU rRNA
Rfam family: Bacterial small subunit ribosomal RNA
Source: RNAcentral